RNA transcript from Thrips palmi, 1271 nucleotides. RefSeq lists it as uncharacterized. The record is from RefSeq and is a predicted model, not a curated record. Lineage: Eukaryota; Metazoa; Arthropoda; Insecta; Thysanoptera; Thripidae. The transcript is spliced from 3 exons.
AUCACAACAAUGGGUUAGUUGGGCAAUUGUUUCUGAUUUAGUUGCCAUGGUUAUUGAGGUCAUCCCUUUAGCUGUCAAGCACAUUUAGUUGAAAGAUACUAAGAUAUUACUUAGUUCCUUAACUGAGUUUUAGCAGUUGCAAAUCUGGUCCAAUUCUGAUCUUGCACAAAUAAGUGGAUAAAAUGAACUGCAAAGACAUCCCGGUAAACAAAUUUGAGAGGCAAUACAAUAAACUUGUAGCCGAACUUCACAGCUACCAAAAAAAGGUAUCUGAAAGCAAGAAGCUUGUAGCUGAAAUACGCAACGAAAUUCACAAUACUGAAGGAAGUGUCGAAGAGCAGGAAGAGAGAAAAGUUCAACUCGAGGAGAGAGCUAUGGCAAGCUGGAAGUCUCUCAAAGAAGUGAGAUACAACAUGCAGCGUAUAUCACGAGAAAUGGACAUGCUCAAAAAUAAGAUGCUCAUGAAAAUAGAAAGCCAAAGAAGGAACCAUGAAGGGUACUUUUAGUUUCUGUCAUAAAGAGUUUAAAGCUUUAAAAGAAAACAUUUUUUUGACCAACUAGAUGCAGUUGCAUCCACAUAUUAAAUCUUUGUAUGAAUCUAAAUUAAUAGUGAACAGGAGAGGGUCACAUUUAGAAGAUGACUGCUACAAAGGAAGAGGAUUGGUAAUGAAAAAAAAACAUUAGAACUUAUUUUGAAUUCUUGUGUGCCCACAAAGUCUCACCUUUAAGAAUAUCAAUGGCUUCAUCCUUUGAACGAGUGAUAUUAUCCUCUCUCCAUGAAGAUGGUCGCCGUGAUCCUUUGUGCUUCACAAGCAAAUGGCUGCAUUGAACUUUUGAGGGACCAGACCCCGCCUGUUCGGCAGGUUCAGUGGGAGUUUCCCACUGGCUUUCUUUAGUGUAGAGAUUCAAGUAAUAGGAGUGGCCUGAAAAAUAAAUUGAACAGUUAGUAUGUCAAGUAGCCAACAAGAAAUCUCUGAAAGCUCCACAGCAAAUCAAAUCUAAAAUUCAUGAACUGACCCAAUGAUGUACUAUAUUUCGAGAACAACAAAUUGGCUGAAGAAGCAAAUGUGAAUCUAAACUAACCUCCAACCCUCAUGACAAGAGAAACAAUCCGUCGGUACAAAGAGGUAUACCACCAUAGUGAUGAAGCGAGACAAACCUGUCGAGCGGCUAGUGCGCUUUUCCCAUCCUUCAGGAAGAAUUUCGUCCGACAUGACAAUGUGUGGCUUUCGUACGGUGUACAAAUAAAUUAAUUUCUAGGGUGUCUGUAA